Molecule: ribosomal RNA, 647 nt
Filed under: uncultured bacterium
Lineage: Bacteria
Description: bacterial SSU rRNA
Rfam family: Bacterial small subunit ribosomal RNA
Source: RNAcentral
GGGAUAACAGUUGGAAACGGCUGCUAAUACCGCAUAAGCGCACAGUAUCGCAUGAUGCAGUGUGAAAAACUCCGGUGGUAUAAGAUGGACCCGCGUUGGAUUAGCUAGUUGGUGAGGUAACGGCCCACCAAGGCGACGAUCCAUAGCCGACCUGAGAGGGUGACCGGCCACAUUGGGACUGAGACACGGCCCAAACUCCUACGGGAGGCAGCAGUGGGGAAUAUUGCACAAUGGGCGAAAGCCUGAUGCAGCGACGCCGCGUGAGCGAAGAAGUAUUUCGGUAUGUAAAGCUCUAUCAGCAGGGAAGAUAAUGACGGUACCUGACUAAGAAGCACCGGCUAAAUACGUGCCAGCAGCCGCGGUAAUACGUAUGGUGCAAGCGUUAUCCGGAUUUACUGGGUGUAAAGGGAGCGCAGGCGGUGCGGCAAGUCUGAUGUGAAAGCCCGGGGCUCAACCCCGGUACUGCAUUGGAAACUGUCGUACUAGAGUGUCGGAGGGGUAAGCGGAAUUCCUAGUGUAGCGGUGAAAUGCGUAGAUAUUAGGAGGAACACCAGUGGCGAAGGCGGCUUACUGGACGAUAACUGACGCUGAGGCUCGAAAGCGUGGGGAGCAAACAGGAUUAGAUACCCUGGUAGUCCACGCCGUAA